RNAcentral lists this ribosomal RNA (482 nucleotides) under uncultured Lactobacillus sp. RNAcentral describes it as "bacterial SSU rRNA". It matches the Rfam family "Bacterial small subunit ribosomal RNA", at positions 71 to 525 of the family's 1533-position model. The record is from RNAcentral. Lineage: Bacteria; Bacillati; Bacillota; Bacilli; Lactobacillales; Lactobacillaceae.
UUCUUCGGGAAAUGGGACAUAGAUACAAGCUAGCGGCGGAGUGGGGUGAGUAACGCGUGGGUAACCCUGCCCUUAAAGUCUGGGAUACCAUUUGGAAACAGAUGCUAAUACCGGAUAAAAAGCUACUUCGCAUGAAAGAAGUUUAAAAAAGGCGGCGUAAGCUGUCGCUAAAGGAUGGACCUGCGAUGCAUUAGCUAGUUGGUAAGGUAACGGCUUACCAAGGCGAUGAUGCAUAGCCGAGUUAAGAGACUGAUCGGCCACAUUGGGACUGAGACACGGCCCAAACUCCUACGGGAGGCAGCAGUAGGGAAUCUUCCACAAUGGACGCAAGUCUGAUGGAGCAACGCCGCGUGAGUGAAGAAGGUUUUCGGAUCGUAAAGCUCUGUUGUUGGUGAAGAAGGAUAGAGGUAGUAACUGGCCUUUAUUUGACGGUAAUCAACCAGAAAGUCACGGCUAACUACGUGCCAGCAGCCGCGGUAAAU